CUGUCACAACGGCUUCCUGGCGUGGCAGCAGACCAUAAUGGAGCA
Molecule: non-coding RNA, 45 nt
Filed under: Roseivivax halotolerans
Lineage: Bacteria; Pseudomonadati; Pseudomonadota; Alphaproteobacteria; Rhodobacterales; Roseobacteraceae
Description: SAM-SAH-Weickhmann-2018 RNA
Rfam family: SAM/SAH riboswitch aptamer
Source: RNAcentral